This 72-nucleotide transfer RNA is filed under the name Bos taurus (domestic cattle). It matches the Rfam family "tRNA". From Rfam's summary of the family: Transfer RNA (tRNA) molecules are approximately 80 nucleotides in length. Their secondary structure includes four short double-helical elements and three loops (D, anti-codon, and T loops). RNAcentral also lists the same sequence under 1 other name. The record is from Rfam by way of RNAcentral. Lineage: Eukaryota; Metazoa; Chordata; Mammalia; Artiodactyla; Bovidae.
CCCUAACUGGCUCAGAUGGUAAGGUGUCUGCUUACAAUGCGGGAGACCUGGGUUCAAUCCCUGGGUUGGGAA